ACUCCGGCAUGCACGCCCACGCAGUACUGUUGGCAUACGUUCAUGAGGUGAAAAGACAGACAUAAAUGGUGCAUCAUGUUUGGAGAACAUAGUCAUAGCAUAUUGGUUUAAACAGCACUGACAUUUACAAACCACAGACAUGUACAUAUUUACUUUGGUUCAUGUGUAAUGAUGACCAGACGCUUUUAUCCUUACGCGUCAUUUCACCUUUCUUUGGCACACUUGAACGUUGGGCCAGUAACCGAAAGGUCCCUAGUUCGAAUCCCACGAGCAGACAAGUUGCUUGCGCCUCAACCUCCAACUCUGACAGGCCACCAUGCCCACAUUAACGCUGGUGGACACCAGAGCAAAUUCGAUUGAACAUGAUAAUACAUCAUAGCCUGAAGGUUUUGAACAGCGCCACAGAAGGGUGGAGAAUAGAGCCAGAGUAUUGAUUUGAUAAAGCCUGGAGGAGUGUUGUAGCCAGCAUCUGGAGUCAGGCUGUGUGAAUGGGAUCCUUUCUUACGGGGGCCUGCGCUCCAGUGAGCGCACUCAGGGCAUGGGGCACUGCACUGCAGGCCUACCAAGAUUUCAAUUGGUUUCCCAAAUGAAGCAUUGGGUAGCUACAGGAACAGGAUUGGAGAGCCCAUGACAUACGGAGAUUGAGGGAAACAUCACCUAUCUGGCAGAGAAAGGCUGCAUGCUCCUCAAACAGUGGUUGAUGAGUGGAGUGAAAUAACCGGAGUAGCCUACCCGAACAAGCGGAAAGCAGCCUCCAUUUGCUAUUUGAGUGCAUACGGAUGACAUCUUUUUUUCCCCCUGGAAGUGGCCAUUCUAAAUCUUAACUGAUUUUACAGAUUAAAUUGAGAAUAGUCUGAUGGGUGAAAAUAGGAUCACUUGAUGAGAGAACUGUGUGUGCAGCCUGAGGCAAGGAACAGAGCACUUUCUCAAAUCAUCAAUAGCCUAUAGUCACAUCAUGCAGCCCAUCUGUUUUGAUUUCUAAGACAUUCUAAGGUUUGUAUCAUUCACAACUAAAGUUGCCAAAUAACUCUAAAUCUAGCGCAUAGGACCUGUUUCAAAUUAUGACUUUUACGCUCAACAUAGCCACUUCAUAUGCGCUAGCUUCGGAAUAGAAAACAUAUCCUUUCUGUUUUAUUCAGCAAAGUUAUCAUUAUAUUCUUCUUACUAUAAAACCAUAUAAUAUAAAAUAAUGGCACAUGAUUUAUAAGACUAUCUUAUCUACUAAAUGGACAAGCCUACAGCCUAUGGCAUGGCCCAUACAGUAGGCCAACUCAUAUUCUGUUCUUCUGAAAUACAUUUUCUUCAUAUCAUAAUGUUUCUUUAGACCUGCCUAAAAUAAAUAUUGGAUUUAUUGUGAUGGUGUAUAUUAAAUUGAUUUAUUAGACAUCUUAUAUUGUUUAUAUUAAUAAUUAACGUUCAAUUACUGUGAGACCGGCAGUCUUUUGCAUGACAAUAAUCGGCUGACAUUUCAUGACGACCACAACCCUAGUAAAGACCCAUUUCAAUAUAAUGUGUUAUGAACAUGUGUGCCAUGGAAUGUCAAUGGAAUUGGCAGUCAAAACAAUUAAGGUAUAUUCUUAUAAUAAUACAAAUAACACCGUCAUGGAGUUUAGGUAAGCUUGGGAUGGGUUGUCAUUCUUCUCCACCUACUGCUUAAUAUCCAGAGGAGUAUACAUUUUCAUUGAUUAAAAAAAAAAAAAAAAAUCCCAUUUAAGUCUACAGAAUUUACUACAAACCCAAAUGGACGUUUUUUAAGUGAAACCUAGCACAUAAAAAGUCACUCUACUGAAUUGUUAUUGCCCAGAUGAAGAGGACCCAAUGUUCAUUAAUAGCACAUAAAAAGUCACUCUACUGAAUUGUUAUUGCCCAGAUGAGGAGGACCCAAUGUUCAUUAAUGAUCUUAUACAAAAAAAUUAUCAAUGUAACCAGAAUAUUAUAUGGAGAGGGGGUUAUUUUAAUUGUGAGCAGGAUGCAACUCUAGACAAGUCAUCAGCAAAACUAUAUCCUCUUCCUAACAUGUCUAAAGUAUUAAACCACAACUGGAACAGUUCUCACUCAUCAUUAUUCACGAGUCAUUCAGGACUAUCUGUAAUAAGGAGGUACCCGUGCUAAGGUCUAUUCAACGCUGGUCUGAAAAAUCGCUAUCUGUGCUUCAAGAUUGUUUUGAUCACGCGCGGACUGGGAUAUGUUCCUCAGGAGGCUGAAGAAAUUUGGCUUGGCCUCUAAAAUCCUCACAAACUUUGACAGAUGCACAAUUGAGAGCAUCCUGUCGGGCUGUAUCACCGCCUGGUACGGCAACUGCACCACCCGCAUCCGCAGGGCUCUCCAGAGGGUGGUACAGUCUGCCCAACGCAUCACCGGGGGGACACUGCCUGCUCUCCAGGUCACCUACAGCACCCGAUGUCACAGGAAGGUCAAAAAGAUCAUCAAGGACAUCAACCACCUGAGCCACGGCCUGUUCACGCCGCUGUCAUCCAGGAGGCGAGGUCAGUACAGGUGCAUCAAAGCUGGGACAAAGAGACUGAAAAACAGCUUCUAUCGUAAGGCCAUCAAACUGUUUAAUAGUCAUCACUAGCCAGAUUCCACCCGGUUACACAACCCUGCACCAUAUUGGCUGCUGUCGGAAGUUUACAUACACUUAGGUUGGCGUCAUUAAAACUUGUUUU
This is a long non-coding RNA of Salmo salar (Atlantic salmon), 2666 nucleotides long. RefSeq lists it as uncharacterized. The record is from RefSeq and is a predicted model, not a curated record. NCBI's taxonomy places the organism in Eukaryota, Metazoa, Chordata, Actinopteri, Salmoniformes, Salmonidae.